Molecule: ribosomal RNA, 1467 nt
Filed under: Bouteloua dactyloides
Lineage: Eukaryota; Viridiplantae; Streptophyta; Magnoliopsida; Poales; Poaceae
Description: bacterial LSU rRNA
Rfam family: Bacterial large subunit ribosomal RNA
Source: RNAcentral
GACAGCUAGGAUGUUGGCUUGGAAGCAGCCAUUCAUUUAAAGAGUGGCAUUGUCGACACUAGUCGAGCGGACGAGCAUGGAUAAUAAUCGGGCAUAAGCAUACUACCGAAGCUAUGGAUUUUACGUAAGUAAAGUGGUAGGGGAGCAUUCUAAACUGGGUCGAAGGUGUGAUGUGAGUCAUGCUGGACUGUUUAGAAAAGAAAAUGUAGGCAUAAGUAACGAUAAUGCGGGCGAGAAACCCGCACACCGAAAAACUAAGGUUUCCGCAGCUAUGCUAAUCAGCUGCGGGUUAGUCGGGUCCUAAGGCGAACCCGAAAGGGACAGUCGAUGGCCAACGGGUUAAUAUUCCCGUACUUCUUAUUGCUGUGAUGGGGUGACGGAGUGAUGAAAGCGCCGCGAACUGACGGAAUAGUUCGUUGAAGUACCUACCUAUAAGAGAUGCAGGCAAAUCCACAUCUUUUGGGGAAAUACGAUAGUACUCGGAGUCUUCGGACAAAGAGAUAGUGCGCCUAAGGGCUUCCAAGAAAAACCUCUAAACUUCAGGCAAUGAGAACCAGUACCGUAAACCGACACAGGUAGUUGAGGAGAGAAUCCUAAGGUGCUCGAGAGAUUCAUGGCUAAGGAAUUAGGCAAAAUAGACCUGUAACUUCGGGAGAAAGGUCGCCAGCAGCAAUGCUGGCCGCAGUGAAAAGAUCCAGGCGACUGUUUAUCAAAAACACAGGGCUCUGCAAAAUCGUAAGAUGAAGUAUAGGGCCUGACACCUGCCCGGUGCUGGAAGGUUAAGAGGAGAUGUUAUCUUCGGAGAAGCAUUGAAUUGAAGCCCCAGUAAACGGCGGCCGUAACAAUAACGGUCCUAAGGUAGCGAAAUUCCUUGUCGGGUAAGUUCCGACCUGCACGGAAUGGCGUAACGAUCUGAUACUGUCUCAGCCAUGAGCUCGGUGAAAUUGUAGUAACGGUGAAGAUGCCGUUUACCCGCAGUGGGACGAAAAGACCCUGUGCACCUUUACUAUAGCUUAGUAUUGACUUUGGACAAGUGAUGUGUAGGAUAGGUGGGAGACUUCGAUCCUGCGUCGCCAGGCGUAGGUUAGUCAUUGUUGAAAUACCACCCUUUGCUUGUCUGAAGCCUAACCCCGCUGUGCGGGGGACAUUGCUUGGUGGGUAGUUUGACUGGGGUGGUCGCCUCCAAAAGAGUAACGGAGGCUUCUAAAGGUUCCCUCAGCACGCUUGGUAACCGUGCGUAGAGUGCAAUGGCAUAAGGGAGCUUGACUGAGAGACAUACAGGUCGAUCAGGUACGAAAGUAGAGCAUAGUGAUCCGGUGGUUCCGCAUGGAAGGGCCAUCGCUCAAAGGAUAAAAGGUACGCCGGGGAUAACAGGCUGAUCUCCCCCAAGAGCUCAUAUCGACGGGGGGGUUUGGCACCUCGAUGUCGGCUCGUCACAUCCUGGGGCUGGAGAAGGUCCCAAGGGUU